ACUUUUAGGAUGAACUGACAUGCUGACUGGGCACUAGACCUCCUCUCCUGACAUCAGUGUCUGACCUCACUAAUGAUCUUGUGCCUGAAUGGACAAAUCGCCACAGCCAUGCUCCAGAAUCUAGUGGAUAUCCUUCCCAGAAGAGUGGAGGUUAUUAUAACAGUAAAGGGAGAAUUAAAUCUGGAAUGGGAUGUUAAAAAAGCACAUAUGGGUGUGAUGGUCAGGUGUCUACAAGCAUUUGGCCAUAAUAGUAUAUUUCAGUGGUCUAGCCCUCCAUUACAGGGCCAAUUCUUCAGCCAGUACAAUUUGGAGGUGGAGGACCACCACCAGAUUCCCCUCCCCCUUUCCCAUAUUAGGUGUAAAAAUAUCACCAGAGCAAUUUGUCAUAGGCAAAGCAAUCAUGCAAAAAAAAAAAAGUAUGGCCAUCAGUUUUUUUAGACAAGUAUCGCCUACUUACCACUUUGUAUAAUAUUGGAUAUUUGGUCUAGACAGCCUAAUGCCAUUGGGAUUGCAGCUGAAAUUAGCAAUAACAAUUUACUGCUAAUUAUUUCAUUUACAAUUACUUUACAAGUGUCGUGUGAAUUGACAUAAAAUUGUCUGUUACAAAUUAUGCAUUUACGCGGUAAGCUAUUUUUUGAGCUAUUUGAGCCAAUGGGAGAUCCGCCCUUUUUAAAGUGAACGCGUGCAGGACUUGCUGAGGAAAGCCUGACUCAAUGUGUUGUUAACCCACAUUGUGAUACUUCAGUUAAUCCAGCUUGUGAAUAUUUGGUUAAGUGAAGAUGGCUACCAAACUGAAACUUCAAGUUUGUUGAGCUUGCUUCAGAAUGAAAUGGUUUCUGUGUCAGUGUUGUUGAAUUUGUGAACAUGUUCCACAAGGGGGCAACACAUGGACACAUAAUACACAGACAUCACACCUCAUAUGUCUCUUUGGGGCUCUCAGUCAUUAUUGCUGUGAUAGGACGGAUCACUGGCGGAGAUGAAGCGGCCUACAGGAGGGAGGUGGCCAGUCUUGUGACAUGGUGUGAGGACAACAACCUCACCCUCAACACGGACAAGACAAAGGAGAUGAUAGUGGACAUGAAGAAAGAGAGGAGAACUCACCAGCCACUGUUUAUCUGAGAGCUUGAAGUGGAGAGGGUGAGCAGCUUUAAAUAUUUGGGGGUCCACAUCAGCGAGGACCUCACCUGGACACUCAACACCACCCAGCUGGUUAAGAAAGUACAACAGCGGCUGCACUUCCUAAGGAGGCUGAGGAAGUUUGGCAUGUCACCUAAGAUCCUCAACAACUUCUACAGCUGUGUUGUUGAAAGCGUCUUGACCAGCUGCAUCACUGUGUGGUAUGGCAGCACUACAGUGAGGGAUCGCAAACGUCUGCAGAGAGUGGUGAAGACUGCUGAGAAGAUCAUCAGGACUCCACUGCCCUCUCUGCAGACUAUUUACCACUGCAGAGUCCACAGGAGAGCUGCCUCCAUCCUUAAGGACCCAACCCACCCACAAUACGGACUGUUCACACUCCUACCCUCAGGACGGAGGUACAGGAGUGUGAAAUGCAAGACUUCCAGACUAAGGAACUCCUUCUUCCCCUCAGCCAUUAGACUUUUAAAUGGGUAGCCAGUGGACACAGACUAGUCUCACAUAUCUCAUAGAAUAGGUGGACUGAACUGCUACAGCUCAAUUUGCACAUUUGUAAAUGUUACUGCUGCUAUUAUUAUUGUGUAGUUGCACUCAAUUUGCUACAGGCUACUGUACUAUUGUUUUGUACAUAAGUCAAUAUUGCACACAGAGAUAUACUACAUAUUACUGCUACAUGUGAACACAUUACUGUUACUACAUUUACUGUAAUAUUGUUUUGCACAAGUCGCUUUGAAUGUUGAAUGCAAGUUAGGGUAUCCCUGCUCUAACACAUCCGCUUCAACUUUAAUUAGCUGAUUAGAUUAGUUGGAUUAUUAGGACAGUGGGUAUUCCAGGAUCAGAAUCGGGCACCUGUGGUCUACAGGAAACACAAAAAACAUACUUUGCAUUUAGGGUGGUAUUCAGUGCCAGAAUAAUGUGUUUUCUAAUUAGCAUAAAUAUGUACCUAGAUGUAUCCUAUUAAACCAUCUGUCAUUACAACCAAGAAGAAUAAAGUUUUCAGGAAACCAUGCAAAACAUUGGGGGCUGGGGCAGGUCUACAGUGUUAUCUCUCGUCACUCAUCAUGUGUGACGGAUGAUAACAACACCCCUGCACCUCGUCACAACCCCAUCCGUCUCACAGACAAUGGCACUUCUUUGCAUUGAAACAAAGUUUCUUUCCUUGUUUGAGCUCACAGAAGGAAGUAGGUGCAAAUAAAAAACAGAGAUAGCAGCACUGCUGUGCUAUUCAUGACGGAAGAUGACUGUGCAAGGUUUUAAAAUGACAGUGACAGCCAACAGUCUGACCACUGCUUUGAAUCACAGCACAGCAUCAAAUCCAGCACUGGAAGCUUGUGGCCUGUUAGAGGUGCCAGCCCAUCCUUUUUUCAUUUUUUCCUACUCAAUAGUCUGCAUUGUUAGUUUGGCAUUGAACGCCAUCACCAUGCGAGUGUAUUACUGCACCGCUCUACGAUUUCAGUCCAGUGUCACCAUCUACCUAAAGAACCUGGCUGCAGCUGACUUCUUCCUCUGCCUUGUUCUGCCCUUGCGCAUUGCCAACUAUGCUAGCAAAUCAACAACGAUGCGACAAAUUUACUGCAAUUUUGGUGCUGCGGGCUUCUAUCUCAAUAUGUAUGCCAGCAUUCUCUUCAUGGAUUACAUCGCUGCAAACAGAUAUCUAAAGAUUGCUCAGCCGUUAGAGACUCAUGCUCUGCAGACAGCCCGUGCGGCACGCUGUAUCUCCAUUAUGACAUGGACUUCCUUAUCUGCAAUGGCUUUUAUUUACACUGUCGUGUUUCUGAGCACAUCCUGGGGGGCUGGUCCAAAUCCGCACGCAAUCGGCUGUGAGUCCUUACACAGCCAUCAGGUCAGCACGGUCUACAAGAUCAUCCACUGCUUUUCUGCACUUGUCUUCAUCUUUGUGCUGGUGUCCCUGAUCCUGUUCUAUUGGGGCACGGUGCGGACGCUUCGACACCCCCCCGUGCAGACCCAAAGGUGCCACCGUAAACUGAGCAGGUCUAAACGCAACAUGCUAGUGCUUGUGGUGGUGUUCUGUGUGUGCUUUGUGCCUUACCACAUAGUGAGGCUCCCUUAUGCCUUCCUAAAGCCCCUGUUACAGGGAUGUGGUACUACAGCCAAGUCGUUUUACAUUAUAAAGGAGAUCACAGUUUUGCUUUCAGUGCUCAAUGCUUGCAUGGAUCCACUGAUAUAUUUUGUCUUUUGCAAGGGAUUCCGGGAACAAAUAGGCAUCAGAAAAGUCCAAGCAUUCACUAGUCUAAGGUUGAGCACAGUCCGAAGAGAUAAAGGGAAACAAAGCAACACAGACACAGGGGAUUCACAUGUUAUGGUGAGAUGUGAAAGUGUCAAUCGACUGAAUAAUAUCCAACUGUGUCAGAUAGAACUGCAACCUACUGUCAUAAAUGAAAAAUAACAAUGAUAUUCAGCAGUGAAUACAGAGAUAGGUCACCAAAAAUAUAAUACCUUUAUAAUACUCAGUAAUGCCUUUACUGACUGUGAAUGUUAAAUGUUUUUUAUAAUUACUUUUUAUAUAACAGACUGAUGUAUCAUAGACAGUGAUAUUACAGUGUAUCAAGAUGUGAUUGAAGUGUAUACUUUCAGCUUUAAUUCAAGGGGUUUUAUUGUAUUAACACAUAAUACAUAUUGUAUUAACUAUUCAGGAAUUACAGCCAUUUUUUUUACAGUCUUCCAUUUUCACAGGCUCAAAUUUAAUUGGACAAUUACCUGAUAAUCAGUUUCAUGGUGAGGUGUGGCCUGGUUCCUCAUUAUUUCAUGACAACUUAAGGAAAUAAAAGGUUUGGAGUUGAUUCCUAGUGUUUAAUUGGCAUUUAGUAGCUGUUAAAUAGUUAAAAAAAAAAUUUUAGUUAAACCUGGAUUAAAGCUGCAUGUCUACACUUCAGUCACAUCUUGAUUGCUUCAUUUCAAAUCCAUUGUGGCGGUGUAAAUUAUGAGGAGGCAAAAUUAUGAAAAUUGUGUCAUUGUCCAAAUACUUAUGAACCCGAUUGCAUAUAAACCAUGAUCAUUAUGUUUAUUUAUUGUCAUAUUAAAAAUGUGAAUGUAUAAUAUACAGUAUUUAUGCAAUUAAUGUUGCUCCGUUUCCUGUUUAGAACUUUUUAGAAAACUGACUCAUGAAAUGUAAAAAAUGUAAAAAAAUAAAAAAAAUUUAAAAAUGACUUACUUGCUUACAGUCACUUUACUGCACAAGAAAUGAAUAAUUCUAUUAAUGUACUGUAAGAUUCAGAGUCAUAGUGGAAACAAGCCAAUAGCUGUGGUGCUUUCCCCAGGCGGAUCUGACACAACUUCCCCAAUUUCAGUUUUAUCAAAGCUUCAUCUCCUGAGCAGUUUGGGCUUCUGCCAAACGGACCAAGCUUUUAACCUCACUUACAUAAAGAACAGAGUGACACAAUGAUUUGCUUUUGUUCAUGACGCCCUGUGGCACGAAGACUACAUGUCGAGUUCGUGUGCUUAAACUUGUGACGAGUAUGUUGUGGUUUUUCUUCAGAGAAUUGGAAAGUUUGGGUUUCCGAGACGUCACUUCACCACACAGUUUGGCUAACGCCCUCUUUUGCGUCGUAGAACGUAAUUGGUGUUAGAUUCAAAGAAAUGAGGCCACACCAUAGUAGGCAGUAGAAUUACUGAAGAAAUUAUAAAGGAAGUGGUUGUUAGCAGAGACAACAUGCUGCCAGAGACGAAGAGCAGCUGAACAUGUGGCUUCCAUCAAGCUGCAAGACAGUUUUUCACCACUUCCUUCCUUAAGUCUGGAUCACGUUUGCUCAGAUUCAGUUGUCUGACUACUUCUAGGGGUCCAACAAGCUUACAACAAAGAAAGACUCCGUUCAACACCUUAUCAAGGUCCCUUGUAAUGACAUCAACUCAUCCAACACACUGGAUAAAUUGUGAUACACUCUAAGUUACUUCUACACCACCUUUUUCCAAAA
Molecule: RNA transcript, 5066 nt
Organism: Pangasianodon hypophthalmus (striped catfish)
Lineage: Eukaryota; Metazoa; Chordata; Actinopteri; Siluriformes; Pangasiidae
Gene: gpr171
Gene name: G protein-coupled receptor 171
Exons: 4
Source: RefSeq, a predicted model, not a curated record